UGAAAAUAUUCUAUAAAUAGUUCAUAAUUUCCCCUCCUUUGGUAUGUUCUAUAUUUACACCACGCCGCUAUGUUUAAAGCUGUGUUACAUCAUAUCUUAAAAGCUUUUGCGAGAUUGUUAUACAAAUACUCUGAUAUCAGUCCAUGCGAUUGUAUAUGCACUGGUCAGCUUAAAGACGAAGACACGCUCCCUCUUUAGAAACCAAGGUUGAAAUACUUUGGUUUCGUUAUUGAAAAUUAAAAGACAAGGAUUGAUUUGGUGAGAAACCAGAAUCGAAAUGAUGCUGCCGUUUGGAAGACGAUUCAACAUGAUAUAUAUAUACUUCUAUUGCUUUUAAUCAUGCUGCCAGCUGGAUCAUUUUCCCCAACAUUUUCAUGUAUUGAAAACAAUUCAAAUUCUAAAGUAGUUGUUGGUAUAUUAGAACAGUUGUGUAAUCAAGUUAGAAACGUAAAAAUGGGAGUUUGUUUUGGGGAUUUACGAAGCGAAGGAAGAAUAAAAGAAAUAAGAUAAAUGUCUGCGAAAGGCGAAUGAGCAAAAAGAAAGUACUGUAAGAGAAUGUCAUUGAGAAAAUGACGUUUGAUUGCAUUCAAUUAUUUUAUAUCAUAUUUAUCUACGAUCUAGUUCGUCAUUACAACCUAUCAUUGAGUCAAAUGCUGUUUGACAUGUUUCAUACCGAUUGUUAUGCCGUUCUUGGCACACUGAUUUUGACUAAGGGUAUCUCCGUUUACCUGAUCAGGAUAUAGGGCUCACGGCGGGUGUCACUGGUCGACAGGUGAUGCUUACUCCUCCUAGACACCUGAUCCCAACCCUGGUGUGUCCAGGGGUCCGUGGUUGCCCAACUAUCUACUUUGUAUUGCUUAUAGGAGUUAUGAGACUGUUCAUUAUCUUCACCUUUCAUUUAUUUAUUUUAAUUGUAAGAGAGGUGGUGCCGUGUUUGUUGGAGAUUUCAAAUGAAUGUAGUCUAAUAUGUUUCAUGUAAUCGUUAUUCCUCGUUCGAAACAUGGGGAAAUGGUUCACUUGUGCAGCAUUGAAAAGAUCCAGAAAGACAAUGGUGAUAUGAAGAAAGUGAAGAAAAAAAAAUAUAUAUAGAGCAACAAUAUGAAAGUAUCAUGGAACAGUAAGAAUAACAACAAGCUAUUGCAAUUGGAACAAGACGCUUUCAGCGAGAGCGAUAUAAUCUCAAAACCCCUUUGAGAUUUUCAUGUCUGACAUCUUCCAAGGAUGAGAAUAAAACGAAGUUAAAGAAAUUGGACGAAGAUGCGCGAAUGCUCAAAGAGGCAACAAUGAGAGUAAUAGUGAGUAAUAUACAUCGAUAUCUUAUCUUCUGCUAAUAUCAGGAUGUAAAUUAUUUUGACUGCAGUCACAUAACCACCAUUGAUAUUGCCUACAUAAUCAGUAUAAAAGUUACUGUCCUUGAUUUGUAUAGAAUUCAAAAUUGCCGUUGGUAGUAUCAGACGUUUUCACACCGAAAAAUGAAAUUGUUGAAUUUGCUGACUACGUAUAAACCAUAUUAGAUCACUUACAAAUCAGGUAACUAAUAAUCUAAAGCAGAAUAUUUGUAAUUUCAGUUUGCGAAUGUACAUCCAAAUCCCUUUCAAAGAAAAUAAGGUGCAUCAAUCAGAUGGCGUGUUGCAAUUAUAGCGUGAAAUGCAGAGAGGUGCUUUUUCGGGAACCUUUACUACAACUCUCUCCAAAGACUUGGUUUAGUGGUAUUGACGGCUUCGUUAGCGAUCAGUAACCCUCAUCGAUACUUGAAUAUUUGUAUCGCUAUUGUGAGGUGACAUAUGUCAACAGUUAAUUACUUUGAAAACCUAGGUAUAGACCACUAUGAUGUGAUCAUUAAUAAGGAUAUCCCGAAGAACUCAAGGAAACUUAUACCACUUGAAGGGAAUUUUUCAAACUUUGUGUGAUGGACCCCAUCCAAAACGAAGCUCCACACAGAUGUCGUUUGAUCUUAAUCCUUAUCAAACGCAAUAUUUUGACAUAGCAAUAAAGACUAUUAUAUUAUGACAAAUAUAGUAUAUCGCCGGUAGAAUACCAAUCAUCGCCACUUGUUGAUGUUUAGCGAUUUAUGCAAUUCAUAUACAAGCUAUGUUAUAUUUUUUCACAAUAAAAGUUACCAAAAGUUGUAGUUGUAUCAAAUCAGAUAUGAUACCAAACUUGUGGUCCUGUGCAAAACAAAAAUAUCCUUUUCGUGGAUGUGACAGUCGGGUGUAAGUAACAGUUAUGUCCAUCCUUAUCAUAACUACAACCGGCAUCAUUUCUGUAUAAAUAUUCAUUUUGUUUGUUUAUUUUACAUCCUGUCGAGAAUAUAUUUAUUUUGUGCGUUUGCGUGUGUUUAUAUUACCUGUAAGGUGCAAAUCAAACGAGAAUGCUUUUAUUCCUUUCUAAAAAUAAUUUAUUGUAUUUGUUAAGUUUCCAAAAAGGUAUUGAGAGAGAGAGAGAGAUAGAGAGAGAGAGAGAGAGAGAGAGAGAGAGAGAGAGAGAGAGAGAGUUAUGUAAAUAAACUUUUCCAGAACUCCCAGUCAUCAUAAAAAUCCACUUGUUUGUUAUUUUCAUAUUUAGUAUAUUUACUUGUCUUAUACAUAAUCUUAAUAGAAGACAUCAAUCCAGUCAAAAGGAGAAUCAUGCCUGAACAGUGAUCACUAUUAUGUAAUGUUUUGUUUGAAGCGCAAGUAUUUUUACUAUACUAUACGAUGUAACCACAUAUUAUGAAAUACAUGUUUUGAACAAGUAACAUGUAACUCAGUUAUAUGUAAUAGUUUGUUUAAAGAACAAUGGUAUUUUUAUUAUACGAUGUAUCUACAGAUUGUGAAAUAAAUCUUUUUGAACAAGUAAUAUGUAACUGAGUUUUAUAUAAUAUUUUGUUUGAAGAGGAAUAUUUUUACUAUAAGAUAUAUGUACAGAUUGUUAAAAAAAUCUUUUUUUUAACAAGUAACAUGUAACUCAGUUUUAUGUAAUAGUUUGUUUAAAGAACAAUGAUAUUUUUACUAUACGAUGUAUCUACAGAUUGUGAAAAAAAUAUAUUUGAACAAGUAA
Molecule: long non-coding RNA, 3039 nt
Organism: Ostrea edulis (European flat oyster)
Lineage: Eukaryota; Metazoa; Mollusca; Bivalvia; Ostreida; Ostreidae
Exons: 3
Source: RefSeq, a predicted model, not a curated record